UCCAGCUAGGGUAUUGAAUAUUUCCUGUUGCAUUUCCGAACUCUACCACCGUUUUUAUAGAAUACAGCAGCAGAAGCUAUAGAUUUUAUAGCCUUUUUAUGUGGCCAUAGUUUCGCUUUCGCACUGGCCUUUUACGAGCGUUUUAUAACUUGUUUACAUUAGGCGAGUGAGCUGGCGAACACCACCCGAAAUGUCACGUUACGGAAGUGCUGGGAAUCAUUUUAUGCAAAAAUCUAUCAAAUCGCUGGCGGGCUGCAUAAAAAUCGUCGUAAAGCGAUGGCUUGAUUAAGAGCCAUAGCAGCUGGCAUUGACUAUAUAUAUAUAUUGAUGUAGAUCCGAGAUUGGAGCGGUGCAACGAAGCGAUUUCCCAAAACGAUUCUGUGGAGAAUCGAGGAUUAAGUGGAUUAGAUAUCGACCGAGCGGAUCCGCUUUUAAAGCUGCCAAUGGAUGGGAUGAGGCAGGUGAGUCGCACAGUGGCGACUGUGGUCCUGCUCCUGCUGAUUUUACCCCGACCAGCAAAACUGAACAUAAGGAUAGAUAAAUCCGCGGAGCUUGAGAAGAUUGAACAUAAAAUCGAAUAUACAAUGGGAUCCAUGGAAAGGCAAUCGGAAGCGGGCAACGAAAUAGAUUUAGAAGAUUCCAACCUUAUAUCUAAAACAUUUGCGCAGUUAGGAACUUAUGUGACAAAAGAGACCAAACGUCAAAGCAACUUUAACUUUAAGCUUCCCAGCGAAACAAAAAAACUAAUUCUGGAUAUCUUGUCAGGUUUAUUAUAAUAAAGAACUAAGUUUGACAAAAUUGAAA
Drosophila gunungcola (fruit fly) is the source of this 804-nucleotide long non-coding RNA. RefSeq lists it as uncharacterized. The transcript is spliced from 2 exons. The record is from RefSeq and is a predicted model, not a curated record. Lineage: Eukaryota; Metazoa; Arthropoda; Insecta; Diptera; Drosophilidae.